GGCAAAGUGCCAGAGUGGUUAAUGGGUCAGCCUCGAAUGAGUGAGCUGAUGUCUUCGGACGCGCAGGUUCGAGUCCUGUCUUUGUCG
This 87-nucleotide transfer RNA is filed under the name Cephalotrichum gorgonifer. RNAcentral's name for it is "transfer RNA-Ser(CGA)". It matches the Rfam family "tRNA". From Rfam's summary of the family: Transfer RNA (tRNA) molecules are approximately 80 nucleotides in length. Their secondary structure includes four short double-helical elements and three loops (D, anti-codon, and T loops). The record is from RNAcentral. Lineage: Eukaryota; Fungi; Ascomycota; Sordariomycetes; Microascales; Microascaceae.